This 261-nucleotide long non-coding RNA is filed under the name Priapulus caudatus. RNAcentral's name for it is "uncharacterized LOC106820282". The record is from RNAcentral. Lineage: Eukaryota; Metazoa; Priapulida; Priapulimorpha; Priapulimorphida; Priapulidae.
CAACCACUGUGUCCUAUUUGCAGUUUAGGACACCAGCAACUAUGGAGGAUACCACACAGGGAGUGAAAUUUGAAGCAGAUACAAAGCUGACUCGCAGCCAGGCUGGAGGUGAUGCGAGGGAUGAAGUUGAGGAGGAUGAGUACGGUGACACGGAGCUGCAUUCGGCCGUCUUGUCGAGGAAUCUGGAUGAAGUGAAAUCUGUUGUGAACAAGUUGCACCAGGAUAAAGACUUCGCUGCCGUCGACGCUCGAAACUGUUCGG